AUUGAACGCUAGCGGGAUGCUUUACACAUGCAAGUCUAACGGAGUUGCGGACGGGUGAGUAAUAUAUCUGACCGUGCCCAGUAGCGUGGGCUAACUACUCGAAAGAGUGGCUAAUACCGCAUACUCUCGGAGCGGCCUAUAGGGGAUUAGCUAGUUGGUGGUGUCCCGGCUCACCAAGGCAACGAUCCGUAGCUGGUUUGAGAGGACGACCAGCCACAUUGGGACUGAGACACGGCCCAGACUCCUACGGGAGGCAGCAGGGGGGAAUUUUGGACAAUGGGGGAAACCCUGAUCCAGCCAUCACGCGUGGAUGAUGAAGGCCUUCGGGUUGUAAAGUACUUUUGGCAGAGAAGCGGUAUCUGCAGAAUAAGCACCGGCUAACUACGUGCCAGCCGCCGCGGUAAUAC
RNAcentral lists this ribosomal RNA (407 nucleotides) under uncultured bacterium. RNAcentral describes it as "partial 16S ribosomal RNA". It matches the Rfam family "Bacterial small subunit ribosomal RNA", at positions 30 to 526 of the family's 1533-position model. The record is from RNAcentral.